CCCGUCCGCGGCCGUGCAGCCGAGCCCCGCCGAGCAACCGAACCGAGCCGCUCAGCCGAGCCCAGACGAGCAGCCGAGCAGCUUCGAGUGCCGCCGAGCCCGAGCCGAGCCCGAGCGAGCGCCACCGGCCGCAGCUACCGUGACAAGUGGUGCUUGUAGCUGUCAAUCAGAGGCAUGGCCCAAUCAGCGCCGCCCGCCUGGACCGCCCCGCCAUUCUCCAAGAGCGCACUGGGCCGCUGGGCCGGGAAAGGCGAGAUUGGGGUGUUGGUGGGGUGGGGGUGAAGUGGAGGCCACGCCGGGGCUUGGAGCCUCCGGACCGUGUUCUAUCUGCUGGGGGUCUUGUCAUUAAAAGGAAUGCCGGGGUUGGUGCAGGCAGCAGGCCUCUGGGAGAAGUCCAUGUGGCCGCCUUGGUCUAGGGGUUUCUUCCUGCACCCCUGGGUUUUGGGAGGAGUUUUCCGCCCCUCGCGAGAGUUUUGUAUAUAAAACUGGGCCGUUGUACCAUGGAAGGGUGCUGCAGGCGGGUUUGGAGUGCUCGUUACCAGGCACAGGUGUUCCCUGCAGGGUGGGGAUGUUAAGUGCUGGCGAGGAUACUGCAUGCGAGCCGGGUUCUGCAGACGGGGUGGAGAUGCUGCUUUUAGGUUGGGGUUCUGCAUACAGCGUGGGUGCUAUGUGUAGGCUAGAGCUCUGAACGCAGGUAGUGUUCUGCAUAUGAGGCGUAAUGCUUCAUGCGGAGCGAGAGAGAUGUGCACUGCAGUACCCAGAGUGCCCUGGAUGUCUCUCUCCACCGGCUGUUUCUGUUCCCGUGAGAAAGGGACAGCAUUUUCGCGGUAUGCCAGUAGACACCAGUAUACUAGGAUCCAUGAAUUCUAGCAGAGGCAUUCUGCAGCAGGGCCCUCUGGUGCCUCCGAGACCUCAGCUGCAGACCUUUCUAUAUUUAAGAUAAGCCGUGAGUCAAGGGGUUUCAUGGUUUCCUGAGAAGCCUCUGAAAGUGUAUGGCCUUAAGGCCAGCAGUGGAGGCAAUCAGACCUACAGGGACCCUCCUUUUCUUGCGUGAAACCCUUGUAUUUCCUUAAGAUAUGCUGUGGGAGGUGGUGGAAAAGGAGAGAUGAGGACCAGGCUCAGAACUUUACAGAUGUGGGCUGUACUUCCUGUGUACCUCAAUGGAAGGAAGCUGCAUUAGCCAACAAUGUUCCAGGUCAACAUGGUAUGGAAUGUCACCUUCUCCUUCAGCCACCUGCUUGCUCUUGCCCACCCUAAGUGUCACAGUGUGAACUUACAAAGGGGCCCACUUUUUCCAGCACUACCCAGGAAGACCAAUGGAGAGUGAGGACAUUGUGAUCUGUUCAUGUUUCCAAUGUAAGAAAGAACCAACCCUCAGAACAGCUUUCUCUUCAAAGAGCUGGCCUGAUCUUUGGAAGUGGUAGAUUUAGGGCCACUGGGUACUAAGAGUUGUUCUGGAAUGAGCAGCACUGGCCUGCUAAUGGGGACACACAGGCAACCACAGAGGGUGAGCCUCAGGCUGAUGCUGGCACCACUCGGGGCAGUGGUGAUUUUUCAGCAACACCUGAGAGUAUUUGGGACCUUGGAGUAGAGUAUUCAACCGGAUUUGGCCAGAGGUGAGCAGAAGUAGAACAUGGGCAGGUGAGUAGGAGGGCCAAUGAUCCACAUAAGAAAGGAAAGACGAUGCCAGGUCCCUGUCUACUGGGGUCCCUCUGGUCACCUGGCCUCCCUGUCUACAUUCCCACCUUUCCCAUGGCCUUAGCAGCAUUUGGUCUGUAGCUAUCUUCAUCUGCUCCCCAAAACUUUUAUCUUCAAGACUGCUUUCUCCCUACCUGCAGUCUACCCUCUCUCUGCCUCUUGGUCUCUUCCCCUCUCUCUAGCUGCCCGUUUUUUGUGUGUGCAUCUAGCCAACACCAAUCAACAAGCUCUCCGGGGUCUGGAAGUGCCCUCCAGGAGCAGCUGUGUCCCUGCGGUACCUACAGCUUUGAAGCCCGAGCAAGCCACAAAGAAUUGAUGAAGAGCAAAACUGUGUCCAAGGCAAUUGAGCAAACUCUCUGUAUAGAGUCAUCCCAGCCCACUAGUAACAGCUGAAGGAAGACAGAACGGAACCUCCAAUACCGUGGUCCUCUCUCGGUCCUGACCUGACCAUUUUCCAAGUGAUGCAGGAGGCCACUCUUUGGAACCCCUCAGCCACCUGGCUUCUGUCUGCCACCACCAUCACUCCCACUGCCAGGAUGACUGCUGCCACCAUUUCAAAUGGCACUGCCAUUUUACCCUCGCGUUACUAGAAUAGCCAGCUCCACCAAUGCAACAGAACACAAAGUAGUACGGUGCCUGAUGUUGCAAACCCAGGAGGCAGCACUAAAGGAUGUCUCCUACCAGACUAGAGAAGCGAACCAAGCAUCUGGCUUCUGCAGAGACAGAAGGGAAUGUGGCAAGGAUCUUUGUGCCAAUCAUAGCACAAUCCUUCCUGCAAAUAAAGGAUUACAUUUGCAACAAUCACAGGCCUCCUUGCUGGGCUAUCAGGAGAAGUGCUCCUCCUCUGGCCUUGGUGAAGACGGAGCCUAGAGUUCACUGAGAUUUGUAAUGGGGAAAGUCUAAAAUAAGCAGGUCUUGCCCACGGCUGGGAUAGUGUCUUCUGGAGCCUGAGUGGGAGCCAUAGCAGCUAUGGUUGGUGUGUAGCUUCAUCAAGGCAGCUAUGGAAUUUCAAAGCAGCCAGGCUACCUUAAGAGCAGCCCAAUGAGCUACUUUGUUAAUAGUAGAGGAACUGCUUAGAGGAACCAGGACCCCCAGGAAGGGUCUAACAACUGGGAAGUCAACAUUAAAAAGAAUGCUUACCGUGAAGGUUUAUCAUCAGCAUCAACAGUGAUUUAACUGUACGUAACAAUUCACUCUUAACCAAAUACCGUAGGCACAAGUUGGAUCAUCUCAUCUGCCUCACACUGCCUCUAGUAGUUGUGGGGCUGUCAGUGGAUUUGUAAUUUUCUUACAUGCUGCUUAAAGGUCCACAAAGGCUCAAAGGCAGCAACCACCGCCUCCUGGUGAGCAGUUCAGAGGUCGGGAGAACACUGAAACUGAGAGUGGCAUCAUGGCCAUUCUUGGACUGUGCACCGUGCAGCACCAGCACCAGGCUCUUGUUGAAACACUCUUCCCCUUCUACAAGGGAUCCCUGUAUUCCACCCUGUAUAUACCCCUUUCCUUGUGCUGACCUCCCAGCCCUUGUAUUCUGAGGGCCUCCAGUUUCUUCCCGUCCUGAUGCCUUAAGGCCUAGGCAUAAAGCACACUGAGGAACCCUGUCCCAUCCACCCUGGAUCCACUACAUAUUUGACUGCCUUCCCACCCCAUUCUGAUUCUCACAUGUGCCUUCCUUCAGCCAAUCCCAGAAAGGGAGUCUUGGGCUGGGUCUGUACCCUGCCAUGAGCCUAAAGCUGCAGGCUCCCAGCAGGGGAUCAGGACCCUGCAGAAAAGUAGUUUCUCAGUGAACCCUGCCCAACUCUCCAGACCCCCCUCUGUACACUUUGUGGUUGCACCAUCUGUUAAAUUAAUUUGAGCAUGUCCCUUUGUCCCCUCUAUCUUCAUUGUGAAGCCUGGGACACCAAAGACCUAUCACUUUACUUUGCCAUUUGUGGGUCUUACUUCGAUGCUCUUGAACAGAACUCUGAAUUUCCUCAAACAGGUUGACUCGUAUUGCCUCACUCAAUAAAUAGCCCUGCAAGAUGUCCAUUGUUCCCAAGGACAGGUGAGAGAUGGGGCUAGGUAAUAUGUGUCUAGGACCAAGUCACUUACUGAGGAGAGAGACUGGGGAAGAGAGUGCUGACGUAAAGGGACCCAGGGACUUGCCUGAAAGCCAAAGGAAAGAUUGCUGGGGCAGGUGGCUAUGCAGUGACAUAGCCCUCCGCCCCACCUCUCAAGGCACUUUCUGAUGGGGUGGAGGAGGUUCCAAGAAGCUGGGUCAGGUGAACAAGCCCUUCUGAGCAAAGGAGAAAGGCUG
This is a non-coding RNA of Peromyscus maniculatus bairdii (prairie deer mouse), 3991 nucleotides long. The record is from RefSeq and is a predicted model, not a curated record. Lineage: Eukaryota; Metazoa; Chordata; Mammalia; Rodentia; Cricetidae.